RNAcentral lists this ribosomal RNA (497 nucleotides) under uncultured bacterium. Its description in RNAcentral is "partial 16S ribosomal RNA". It matches the Rfam family "Bacterial small subunit ribosomal RNA", at positions 28 to 507 of the family's 1533-position model. The record is from RNAcentral.
GAUGAACGCUGGCGGCGUGCCUAAUACAUGCAAGUCGAGCGAACAGACGAGGAGCUUGCUCCUCUGACGUUAGCGGCGGACGGGUGAGUAACACGUGGAUAACCUACCUAUAAGACUGGGAUAACUUCGGGAAACCGGAGCUAAUACCGGAUAAUAUAUUGAACCGCAUGGUUCAAUAGUGAAAGACGGUUUUGCUGUCACUUAUAGAUGGAUCCGCGCCGCAUUAGCUAGUUGGUAAGGUAACGGCUUACCAAGGCAACGAUGCGUAGCCGACCUGAGAGGGUGAUCGGACACAAUGGAACUGAGACACGGUCAAGACUCCUAAGGGAGGCAGCAGUAGGGAAUCUUCCGCAAUGGGCGAAAGCCUGACGGAGCAACGCCGCGUGAGUGAUGAAGGUCUUCGGAGCGUAAAACUCUGUUAUUAGGGAAGAACAAAUGUGUAAGUAACUAUGCACGUCUUGACGGUACCUAAUCAGAAAGCCACGGCUAACUACGUG